AGUGAACGCUGGCGGUAGGCCUAACACAUGCAAGUCGAACGGCAGCACAGUAAGAGCUUGCUCUUACGGGUGGCGAGUGGCGGACGGGUGAGGAAUACAUCGGAAUCUACUUUUUCGUGGGGGAUAACGUAGGGAAACUUACGCUAAUACCGCAUACGACCUACGGGUGAAAGCAGGGGAUCUUCGGACCUUGCGCGAUUGAAUGAGCCGAUGUCGGAUUAGCUAGUUGGCGGGGUAAAGGCCCACCAAGGCGACGAUCCGUAGCUGGUCUGAGAGGAUGAUCAGACACACUGGAACUGAGACACGGUCCAGACUCCUACGGGAGGCAGCAGUGGGGAAUAUUGGACAAGGGGGGAAAGCCUGAUCCAGGCAUACCGCGUGGGUGAAGAAGGCCUUCGGGUUGUAGAGCCCUGUUGUUGGGAAAGAAAAGCAGCAGGUUAAUACCCCGCUGUUCUGACGGUACCCAAAGAAUAAGCACCGGCUAACUUCGUG
Molecule: ribosomal RNA, 492 nt
Filed under: uncultured bacterium
Lineage: Bacteria
Description: partial 16S ribosomal RNA
Rfam family: Bacterial small subunit ribosomal RNA
Source: RNAcentral